Paramuricea clavata is the source of this 1199-nucleotide non-coding RNA. Lineage: Eukaryota; Metazoa; Cnidaria; Anthozoa; Malacalcyonacea; Plexauridae. The record is from the annotation of a GenBank genome assembly.
GCAGGAGUAAAUUUUCAGGCUGGCUACGCUACUGUGUACUGUGUGUAAUUCUUAGGAUUUGCCAAACAAAGCUAGGUCUGAGUGUGAACCUUUGCUGUCGCCAGUUAGAGAAAAUAAUAAUUUGCUAUGCAAGCCCUCAAAUUAAACUAGAAGAUUUAAAGUGCGCCCAAUUUAUGGAUGUCUUAGAAAAAUGUGAAAUAGUCACAAAAUAUGGCGAAUACAAUUAUUCUCCUAAAAUGAUUGGUAAGUAUAUAUAUGAUGAGAUGUUUAAAGCAUGGAACAAACUAAUGACAGCGGACGAUAGCGUACAUGUAGUUAUCAUUGGAAGAGUGAUUUCGGGGGCUAAUUGUCUCGGUCAUGCUGAAUUGUGUGACUUGGACACAAGGACCACUAAGACGGCAGAUGGGAUGGUAACGAUUCAUGACGCACAGGACGAAACGUGGAGAAGAAUGGGUCAACAAGACUUUAUAAACCACGUACACAAUGACGAAGGUGUUAUAUUCUAUACGGUGAACGUCGAUAAACUAAAACAAAUAAUCAAUCAUUGUUCACAUAUUUUACACCUAAAAAUAUCUAAACAAUUAUACACACAGUACACAACUGAUUUUUAUCACAAGUGAGUGGGCGGUCAUUUUUUCAACUUCCUGAAAAUUUAUCAAUAUUUUGCUAGUUAUCUAUAUUUUAUGUAAAAUUUUUGUGUAGUUAUAUGUUUUCAUCAUGGCUAUACAAAUAUAAAUAUAAAUGAAUACAAUUAGCUUUUCUCACGCCGCCAUUUUUGGGGUACUUUUUUGCCAAUCCUGCGAGCGUAGCACCACGUAACGGCGACAUUUUAUAAUUUUGUGGGUGUACGAUGGUAAAUUUACUCCGUAAAUAGUUUGUUCUGAAAUAUUGCUUUUCACAUUGUUAUAAUCGUUUACGAAAAAUUACAGUACACCAAAAAUGGCGGCGUGGGAAAGGCUAAUUGGAAUUUAUCCUGUUACGGAUACGUCAUAUAAUGAAUGUUUAUGAGUGCAAUGGUAAGAGUAUUUUCAUUCGGUGAAAGAUGUGAUAUUCCAAUCAACUCGGUUCGUUGAAUGGAACAUUCCAUCUUUCACCUCAUGAAAAUAUUCUUACCAUUGCACGAAUAAAUACAUUCAUUAUUUGUAUAAUAUAACAUGUUAUAUAUAUGUAUUUGUAAUAUUUGUAAUAUUGUGACAAAC